ACUUAGAGACAGACUGACACAGACAUAUCCACUAAUGCCAGGUGAAAUACUUAGAGACAUACUGACACAGACAUAUCCACUAGCGUUAAGGAAUAUACUUACUGACAUACUGACAGCGUAUCCACUUUUACCAGGGGAUAUACUUAGAGACAGACUAACAUAGACAUAUCAACAAGUGUAAGGGGAAAUACUUAGAGACAGACUGACACAGACAUAUCAACUAGUGUAAGGGGGAAAUACUCUGAGACAUACUGACACAGACAUGUCAACAAGAGUAAGGGGAAAUACUUAGAGACAAACUGACACAGACAUAUCAACAAGUGUAAGGGGAAAUACUUAGAGACAGACUGACACAAACAUAUCAACUAGUGUAAGGGGGAAAUACUCUGAGACAUAAUGACACAGACAUAUCAACUAGUGUAAGGGGGAAAUACUCUGAGACAUACUGACACAGACAUAUCAACAAGUGUAAGGAGAAAUACUUAGAGACAGACUGACACAGACAUAUCAACUAGUGUAAGGGGGAAAUACUCUGAGACAUACUGACACAGACAUAUCAACAAGUGUAAGGGGAAAUACUUAGAGACAGACUGACACAGACAUAUCAACUAGUGUAAGGGGGAAAUACUCUGAGACAUACUGACACAGACAUAUCAACAAGUGUAAGGGGAAAUACUUAGAGACAGACUGACACAGACAUAUCCACAAGUGUCAGGGGAAAUACUUAGAGACAGACUGACACAGAUUCAUCCAUGAGUGUCACUGGUCAGGAGAAAUACUUUGAGACAGACUGACACAGACAUAUCAACUAGUGUAAGGGGGAAAUACUCUGAGACAUACUGACACAGACAUAUCAACAAGUGUAAGGGGAAAUACUUAGAGACAGACUGACACAGACAUAUCAACAAGUGUCAGGGGAAAUACUUAGAGACAGACUGACACAGACAUAUCAACAAGUGUCAGGGGAAAUACUUAGAGACAUACUGACACAGACAUAUCAACAAGUGUCAGGGGAAAUACUUGUUGAUAUGUUUUAAAUGGACAGAUUGACUGCAGAAGUAUACCCCAUAUCUCCUUGUAUUCAUAAGUUUAAAACACACCAACUAAACAAAGUUAAUUUUAUUGUUUUAAAUAACAACAUAAACAAAAGUAAAAGUAGGGGAAUGAUAUGUUUAAAAUCGAAUUUCAUAAAGAUUGCAUGACAGAUAAGUUUUAUCAAGAUUGCACGACAGAUGAAUAUCAUUAGGAUGGCACUACAAACAAUUUUCAUCAGGAUUGCACAAAAAAAAAGUAUCAUCAAAAUUACACAAAAGAUAAUCAAGAGAUUCAUUAACAUUAUAACACUUUAGUUAAACAUUUCCUCUUUUCAUCUGUGAUUAUCAUAUGAGUUACUUCCCUUUACAACUGUUAUUUUUUUUCACAGCAGGAUAACAUUAAAUGUAGGAUUGUGUUAGUCACAGCAGGUGAGCUAAAAAAGGAGAAAAAAAAAGAAAUUCAUUGAAUCUGUAACAUGGUGAAAGGGGAUCUAAUGCCCCUUUGGGCCAGGUGAGCUAAAAAAGGAGAAAAAAAAAGAAAUUCAUUGAAUCUGUAACAUGGUGAAAGGGGAUCUAAUGCCCCAAGCCCCUUUGGUAGAUUCAAGAACUACAACUCUUACACAAAGGGGAGAUAACUUGAUGAAAAGAGGGAAUUGUUUAAGUUACAAUUGUAUAUAAUCUGACACAUUUACAAACAAUUAUUUAUUUCUCUAAUUCAAUUCAACCUCUGUCAUGACUGUCUAUGGCUUAGUACAAUGCAGUAGUGUAUAAAAAUAUUAACAAUCAUCAAAUAAAACCUAUGUAUUCAAUAAUUGAGUAAGUUUGUAAAAGUAUAGAUGUUAUAACAGUAAAUCACCAUUCUGUGUAGUUGUUGUUUGUGAAAUAUAAAUGCUUCAUUAUCUAGGUAAUUUCAUAAGAGAUCAAUGCACCAAUAAGAAUAAAAUCAAAUAAGAUUACUGUCUGAAUUAUAUACAGAAUUAACAAUGUACAAUAUCUUUUAAUGAUUUACUAUGUAAAUGUAUAUGAAAUUUAUGACUAGCAAAAAAAUAUAUAUGACCUAGCAAGAUGACCUAGUGAGAUGACCUAGCGAGAUGACUGUACAUGACACAGACCCUCAUUGAGAUUGUGUGUGAGUCCU
Molecule: long non-coding RNA, 2172 nt
Organism: Mytilus californianus (California mussel)
Lineage: Eukaryota; Metazoa; Mollusca; Bivalvia; Mytilida; Mytilidae
Exons: 2
Source: RefSeq, a predicted model, not a curated record